Molecule: transfer RNA, 72 nt
Filed under: Tapinoma nigerrimum
Lineage: Eukaryota; Metazoa; Arthropoda; Insecta; Hymenoptera; Formicidae
Also listed under: 3 other names
Description: tRNA-Leu
Source: RNAcentral
AUUACUUUGGCAGAAUAGUGUAAUAAAUUUAGAAUUUAUAUUAAAAUAUAUAAUAAAUUAUAUUAAGUAAUA